AAAAUCCGGUAACCAUAAGGCUAGAUCGUGACAGGUAAGCGAAAUCUUAGGAAAGUAGCGAAGCACAUGAUGACGGCUUCCAGGAAGAGCUUCUGGCAAUGCAUAUGCGGCCCGUACCAAAACCGACACAGGUGGGCAGGGAGAGAAUCCCGAGGUGAGCGAGAGAACUGUUGCCAAGGAACUCGGCAAAAUGACUCCGUAAGUUAGCGAGAAGGAGUGCUUAAGCAAUUAAGCCGCAGUGAAGAGGCCCAAGCGACUGUUUAACUAAAACACAGCUCUCUGCGAAGUCGCAAGACGAAGUAUAGGGGGUGACACCUGCCCGGUGCUGGAAGGUUAAGAGGAUCUGUUAAGAGCGAUCUGAAGCAGUGAUCCGAAGCCCCAGUGAACGGCGGCCGUAACUAUAACGGUCCUAAGGUAGCGAAAUUCCUUGUCAGGUAAGUUCUGACCCGCACGAAAGGUGUAACGAUUUGGGCGCUGUCUCGGCAGCAGACUCGGUGAAAUCUUAGUACCUGUGAAAAUGCAGGUUACCCGCAACUAGACGGAAAGACCCCAUGGAGCUUUACUGCAGCCUGAUAUUGAAUUCUGGUCAUACAUGUACAGGAUAGGUGGGAGACAAAGAGACGUGCACGCCAGUGUACGAGGAGUCGACGUUGGGAUACCACUCUUGUGUGACUGGGGUUCUAACCUGGUAUCGAGAACAGGUACGGGGAGAGUGUCAGGUGGGCAGUUUGACUGGGGCGGUCGCCUCCCAAAGAGUAACGGAGGCGCCCAAAGGUACGCUCAGAUUGGAUGGAAACCAAUCGUCGAGUGCAAUUGCAGAAGCGUGCUUGACUGUGAGACAGACAAGUCGAACAGGGACGAAAGUCGGGAAUAGUGAUCCGGCGGUGCCGAAUGGAAGGGCCGUCGCUCAACGGAUAAAAGCUACCCUGGGGAUAACAGGCUGAUCUCGCCCAAGAGUUCACAUCGACGGCGAGGUUUGGCACCUCGAUAUCGGCUCAUCGCAUCCUGGAGCUGGAUUCGGUUCCAAGGGUUGGGCUGUCCGCCCAUUAAAGCGGUACGCGAGCUGGGUUCAGAACGUCGUGAGACAGUUCGGUCCCUAUCUGUUGUGGGCGAAGGAGAUCUGCGGAGAGCUGUCCUCAGUACGAGAGGACCGGGAUGGACCUACCGCUGGUGCACCGGUUGUUCCGCCAGGGGCAUAGCCGGGUAGCUAAGUAGGGAAAGGAUAAGCGCUGAAAGCAUCUAAGCACGAAGCCUACUCCAAGAUGAGAUCUCCCAUUCGCAAGAAGUAAGACCCCUUAAAGACGAUAAGGUAGAUAGGCCAGGGAUGGAAGUGCAGUGAUGUACGGAGUUGACUGGUACUAAUCGGUCGAGGACUUAAUU
Molecule: ribosomal RNA, 1380 nt
Filed under: metagenome
Description: bacterial LSU rRNA
Rfam family: Bacterial large subunit ribosomal RNA
Source: RNAcentral